This 305-nucleotide ribosomal RNA is filed under the name uncultured bacterium. RNAcentral describes it as "bacterial SSU rRNA". It matches the Rfam family "Bacterial small subunit ribosomal RNA", at positions 337 to 658 of the family's 1533-position model. The record is from RNAcentral.
UCCUACGGGGCGCAGCAGUGGGGAAUAUUGCACAAUGGGGGGAACCCUGAUGCAGCGACGCCGCGUGAGUGAAGAAGUAUUUCGGUAUGUAAAGCUCUGUCAGCAGGGAAGAAGAAAGACGGUACCUGACCAAGAAGCCCCGGCUAACUACGUGCCAGCAGCCGCGGUAAUACGUAGGGGGCAAGCGUUAUCCGGAUUUACUGGGUGUAAAGGGAGCGUAGACGGUUAAGUAAGUCUGGAGUGAAAGGCCGGGGCCCAACCCCGGGACUGCUCUGGAAACUAUUGAACUUGAGUGCAGGAGCGGG